This 497-nucleotide ribosomal RNA is filed under the name uncultured bacterium. RNAcentral describes it as "partial 16S ribosomal RNA". It matches the Rfam family "Bacterial small subunit ribosomal RNA", at positions 28 to 507 of the family's 1533-position model. The record is from RNAcentral.
GACGAACGCUGGCGGCGUGCCUAAUACAUGCAAGUAGAACGCUGAAGAGAGGAGCUUGCUCUUCUUGGAUGAGUUGCGAACGGGUGAGUAACGCGUAGGUAACCUGCCUUGUAGCGGGGGAUAACUAUUGGAAACGAUAGCUAAUACCGCAUAACAAUGGAUGACACAUGUCAUUUAUUUGAAAGGGGCAAUUGCUCCACUACAAGAUGGACCUGCGUUGUAUUAGCUAGUAGGUGAGGUAAUGGCUCACCUAGGCGACGAUACAUAGCCGACCUGAGAGGGUGAUAGGCCACACUGGGACUGAGACACGGCCCAGACUCCUACGGGAGGCAGCAGUAGGGAAUCUUCGGCAAUGGGGGCAACCCUGACCGAGCAACGCCGCGUGAGUGAAGAAGGUUUUCGGAUCGUAAAGCUCUGUUGUAAGUCAAGAACGGGUGUGAGAGUGGAAAGUUCACACUGUGACGGUAGCUUACCAGAAAGGGACGGCUAACUACGUG